UCUUCCUUCCUUCCAACUCUUUUUUUAAUUAUUUUUCCCCUUUUUUUUAAGUUUCUAAUAUGUCAACUUAUCCUUCUGUUGUCAUUUUAUAUAUAUUAAUUUUCAUUAUUCAACUUUAAAAAGUUACAAAAUAGUCACUAAAUUAUUUAAAAUUUUUUAUUUAAGUCAUUGACCUAUUAAAUUUUUUUAAAAGUUCGGCUGAUGAGCUCCAAGCGACAAUUUGACGAUUGGUAUGGUGGAUUAGUGCCCAUCGACAAUGAAGAACAUAUAUUAGAUCUAAGUUGAGCGGACGGUCAGUGUUGGAGAUCGGAGAAAAAAGUUGUUUUAAUUUGGGUUCGCAAAUUCAUGACGUUAAAGAUUGUUUCAUAAUAAUAAAAAAUAUAUACUAUAGAAGAAAAGAAGAAGGAGAACUUUCGGUUAGUGCAUGUGGUGUGAAUAGAGAAGGCUAAACAAUAACGAUUUCAAUAGUUUGAUAACUUAAACGAAAACUUUCGAAUAGUUCAGUGACCAAAAUAUACAUUCUAAUAGUUUACUAACUUUAAUUUACCCGGAAGAUAUUAAUAUAAAAAAUAUAAGUUAUAUAUAAAAUAAAUAUAUACUCCAUAUAUGUAUGAAAGUUGAAACCCAAGGAAGUGAAAAACAAUGAUAUUAGUCAACUAUAAGAAAAUAUAGGAAAGGUGGUGGGUCGUUUAUUUGAUUGUUCCACACUUGUAAUCAUAUGAAAAUGACCCAAGCAAAAUGCUUAAAUUAUUAUUUUUAUAAUUAUUUAUUAAAAAAAAUGGGUGUUAUGAUCCAUAUGUCUAAAAACAAAUAGAAGUUUCUGCUUUGCUGCUGGGUUUACAUCAAAGCCCUUUUUAUAUAAACAUUCUUUUACAUUUUUAAUUCCCUUAUAUUCUGGAAAAUAUAUGAAGUUUAUGAACUAAUAUUUUGUUAUCAUCUACUUUAAUUUGGAUAGUAACGAUGGUGGUAUCAAAUAUUAUUAGUUUUAUUCGAGAAAUUUUUGAAGUGUUAUUCACUUAGACGAAUGCUAUUAUUCCCGAUCAAGGUUUUCUUGGUAGUAUAGUUGCGCAUACUCUUAUAUGCUCACAAUUUCUUGGUAGGCUCAAGCACUCGGCUCUUGUCAAAGUAAAGACAAAGCUGUGACGGAUUAUAAUUAAAUUGGAACUAUUGAUGAAUUUUUAAAUUUAACCAUUGAAAAAAAUGAAAGGGAGGUUGCAACUGAAGAAGGGAAAGAAAAGGAAAAAAAAGGGUGAAGGCGUGAAUGAGAACACACACAUUCAUGAUUAAACCAAAUGCAUGAUUAAACUAAUUAACCAACAAUUAGACUUUCUAAUUAGAGGCUGUUAAGACUUUGUAAUUGGUCAGCUGACUUUAGCUUGCAAUUUCGUCAGCAAAUUGUUGAUGUUGUUAAGCUAUGACUUACGAAAUGAUGGUGGCUAGAUGAAGGAUGAAAACUUUUCAAACAUUGCAGCCAUGUGGCAUAGAAUAAUUGGUUUGGAAAUGAAAAAGACGUCAUCAUCCACUAAGUCAUGUUCUAAUUUGUUUGUUUAUUUUGGCGUUGUAUCAGUCUAACCAACUUUCUAAGUGAUUACAUACCUGUGAAAUGAAAAUGAUUGUUGUUGCUUUCCAACUAUGCUUCUCUUUUCCACUUUCGCCUCACGGUAUCAGAAUACAAAUUAUUCGAGUUUGAUUCGAAAAAAACUCAAAUCCCAUUCAAUAACUAUCAAACCAAGCUUAAACUAUCAUACUUGAUCUCGAGUACGCAAAUUGAUACACAAGUUUAACUAAACUCAAGUAGUUCAAUUAUGUCUCAAACAAAAUUUAAGCUUAAAAAUUAAUGUUUGAUCAAGCAUGAGCUUACAAAUAUUGAACCGAAUUUUGGCUCGAUUACAUCCUAUUAUUAUGACUCUUUUAGAGGAUCCCAAUUAAAUCUGGAGCCAAACUCAAUCAAACUCAACUCAAUUUUCUACAUUCAUCUAAAGUCUUAAAAAAAACAUUCGUCUCCACCCGAUUUAAACAAACAUGGGUUCAUUCGUUUCUUCUUUGAUCUUUCUUUCCUACCAUUCAAGCAAAACCCAAGACUAUUUUACUGAUUCCGCAUGCGCAAAAGCAUGUAUCUUAGUUUAUUUAUGCCAUUGUUCUAUGGCACCACCUGUCUUGGGAUCUAAGAUACAAAAUAAAUAACAAACAUGUUUUUAAAAAGGAUUUAAUUUAAAAAAAAAAUCAUUCAUCUUCACAUCUCAACUAAAUAAUUGUGAUUGGUUACCAACAAAUUUCACCACGUGCUUUUAAUUCGAUUUCUAACCUUUAAAAAGAGACAAUAACACAAACAAGAUUAAAGACAAAGGUUUGGUCUGAAUCAGUGUAGGAAUUUAAAGAACAUCUAAGGGAAGAAAGCCAAUUUGACAAUUAUUUGAACCAUUGUUAAGCAUAAAUUCUAUCAUGAAGAAAGGUACAGAGAGGGUACAAAAGAUAACUUGAAGAUGAAGGAACUUAAUGAAGGAAGUUGGUGAAAUAGACAAUUUGCAGAUACCCUUUUUUUGCUAGUUGUUGAACUCACUUUUAAAUCUUGUCAACUUCUAUAUAUAUAUAUGAAAACAUGACCUCAUCUCUCACUGAAUAUCACACAAAGAACUUUGUUAAGCAACAUCUUAACAGGAGAAGUUGAUAUCUUAGCUCUCUUACAAGGAGUAUUCUAUGUUUAAGACAUAUUGCCUACUGUUUAGGAAAAAAAAGGGACCAUUAUGCAUAAAUAAACUUAAAAGCUAAGUUAUGGUGCAAUAGGGUAGCAUUACAAACCUAUUAUAAACGUGCUAUAGAGGCCCACAAGUUAAGUAAACUUCUAGAUUAAAUUGGGAUUUUACAAUCCCUCUGUUCUCUAAUGAGAGACCUUGGAUGACCCAAGAGAAAAUGAUUCUAACAUGCAUGAACCAUACUAAAACCGAAUCGCCCAAAGCAAUAGCAUAUUUUACAUAAAGACUACAAUUUUGACGGUUUCAAUGAGUAACUAAUAACUGCUAAAUGCUAAUCGUUUUUCGAAUAUCAAAUGUGACAGUAAGACUUCAGAACCAUACAUUCUGUGGGUUUUAAGGAAUAAAUAAUUUAAGCCAGCAUCUUAAUUCCAUUUAGAGAACACAGGAAAUGCCAAUAACCAACAAGAUCAUCACCUUGCAAGGACAAUCAAUAAGCACACUUAACAAUAUGCAGUCACUCCAUGGACCAUACUAAUCAAACGCCUUUAACACCAUAACAAGACCAAACAAUAAGACUUCAAAACUAUAUGUACUGUGGUUUUUAAUGAAUAAACUACGUAAGCCAACAUCUAAAUCCAUUUAGAGAACACAUAAAAUGCCAAUAAUCAACAGGAUCAUCACAUUGCAUAGACAAUAAGCACACUUAACAAUAUGCAGCCAUUCCAUGGACCAUACUAAUCAAAGUCCUUUAACACCAUAGCCUAUGACCAAAUAUGACAAUAAGACUUCAGAACCAUACAUUCUGUGGUUUUUAAUGAAUAAACAAUUUAAGCCAACAUCUUAAUUCCAUUUAGAGAACACAUGAAAUGCCAAUAAUCAACAAGAUCAUCACAUUGCAAUGACAAUCAAUAAGCGCACUUAACAAUAAAGAAAAUACCAAAUUAAACCAGUAUGAUUACUUCAUUGAGGAACCACAAAGUAUUCUUAGUUCAACAAUCACUUUGGUAAUUCACCAAAACAAAACAGCAUCUUGUUCUUUCAAAUUCAAAAAAAUAAAAAUACUAACAUACUACAGAAGGCUCAUAGAGGGACAAAGUCCUUCCUACUUUACACCAUACAAAAUUCUUCAACGGUACUGCAAAGGAAAAAAAGACAAGAAAACACCCAAGUUUAAGAAACUGUUGAUAUGAACAAUUAUGAAGAUUGAAGAUUAAGAUAACGUUAACCAUCAAAAGAGUAAUACCUUGAUGAAUCCGAUUUCCUUGGCAUUGCUACGGAAGCACUGCCUGCAACACAUGAGACCGUACUUCCUGAUGAUGGCAUGGGGGUUCCCACAAACACGGCUAUCAAAACAAAACAAAACAAAACAAACAACCCUAAGUCAUUGUAACAUAAUAAAACACAACAAGACAAUAACAGAUUUGACAAAAGCCUAAGAUGCUACUACUCUCACAUUUAUUACUAAUAAUCUCGAACAAAGCAAAUUCCCAGCCACUAACACUUAUAUGCAAAAAUAAAAUUGCUACAUCGUUCGAUUAGGUAUCGAAGAAAUCAACAACCUAAAUUUUGAUUUCAUUCCGUUGUACUACUAUAUGCCUAAAAUAAAACAUCAGUCGGAAAACUAGUAAUACAUGCUAAGGAGUUAACAAAAAUAGCUCUUGGGAAUUUUGCAAUGCAAUGCAAUGCAAAAAAAAAAAACAGAGAGAGAUGAAACAGUUACCAGGCGCGAGAGCCAGGGCCGUAGGUUUGGGGGUGAGAGUUCCAGACGUUAGAGUGACCCAUGAUUGCUCUGAAAAUGCGAGAGAAAUGAGACUGGAAUUGAAAACCCUAGAUUUCACGGAGGUGUUUGGAUCAUUUAGAAAAUGAUUAUAUAUAUGCGGAGCCUAAAACCCUAGUUUCCGAAUUAAGCGGGGCCCCGAUUUGCUGACCCGUAUACAGCUGUGGGUUUGAUUGUUCCAUAAAAGCCUAUUUAGGCCCAAUAACAUCUCCUGGCCAAACUAGUUUAUAAAUGGCCCAAUAAUAUGAUUAAAUUAAAGAUGAUAUAUAAAUGAUUUAAAUUGAAGUUGCAUUUUUAAAUCGGAAAAACACAUUAUUUAAUUAAAAAACAUAGGGUAAACUAUAUUAUUAGUUACUAAAUUAUGAUUAAGUUUUAUUUUUAGUCACUUAACUAAAAAAAGUUACAAAUUGGUGACUGAAUUAUUCUAAAGUUUUCAUUUAAGUUUUUAAACCGUUAAAAUCGAUGUUAUAUGGCUUUCUCUGUUCGAAAUAACUAAACCAGUUGGAAGCUCUCUUCCCCCUUCUCAUCUACAGUUUAGUUUUUGUCAUGAAAUAACUUUGGACAUCAUGAAUAUGCAAACCGAAAUUCAAACAACUUUUUUCUCUAAUAUCUGACAUUGACCGUUAGAUCGACUUGGAUUUAAGGGAUGCUCUUCUACUCAUUGAUUGGUACUAAUCUACCGAACUGAUCGUCAAAUCGUCACUUGGAGCUCACUGACGGAACUUUUUUUAAGAAAAAGCUUAAUAGCUCAAUGACUUAGAUAAAAACUUUUGUAUAGUUUAGUGACUUAAAUGAAAACUUUUGAAUGGUUUAGUGAUCAAGUUGUAACUUUUUUUAGUUAAAUGAUCAAAAUGAAAAUUUAACCAUAAUUUAGUGACUAAGGGUAGAAUGUACCCAAAAAUAAAAGCAUGGAACUAAAUUGAAGGAUAUUUUAACCCUAAAAGACUCGUCUUUUGCUGGCAGGCUUCAUGGCGAACCGAGCGGGCUCUUCAUCGUCACGCCUGGUAACCAUUGAUUUCAUCACUAAUUGAUCUCUAAAUACAGCUUCACUUGAAAAAUAACCAUCGACACAUUUGUUCUUUAACACUUCUGCAACUAUUCUGCUACUGAAUUUUCUUGAGCAUUCCAUUUCCCAGUAGUUUCUUCCAUUUUCACUAGUUUUUUUUUUUAAUUCAUUUGCGUUUUCAGGAAACCCUUCACGAAGAAGAUGAUUACGACUCAUACGGCGCCGAAUCAGGAUGGGUGGAAGCUAAAACGCACUGUGAUCACUUGCCUUCCCUAUCUUCUGAUCUCACUCACAUUCCAAUCCCUAGCACUCCCUGCAGCAGGUCAUUAUCCCCUAUGUUUUUUGAAUUCUAUAAUUCUUGUUAAACUUCUUUAAUUCAUGUCCUUGUUUGGUUGAUUAUUUUGAUACUUCUAAUAAAAAAUUGGGUUUAGACAUUUAGUUUUGUAACAUAUUUGCAGUUAAUUUUUUGGCUUAAUUGCCUAUACCUGAAGUGAUCUUCUGAUUCAUAUUGAGGGACUAUUAAUAAUUGGCGAAUCUAGGAAUACAUGGUUAAGGGGAUCCAAGAUUAAAUUAUAAAUUUUUGUGUUAAAUUGAAUCAUUAAGCUUUUAGAAUAGCUAAAAUGCAAUUUUUAUAUUUUAAUCAAGGGAGGCUAAGGUCCUGCCUAUGGCAUGUAAAUGAGAUACCAGUGCUUAUAAGGGAUUCGAGUUCAACUUGAAAAUUUUGAAUUCAAUUUGGUAUUUAUAGAGUGAGCUCAAGCUUGCUAUCAAUCAAGCCAGCAAAAUUUGAGCAUUUUAAUACUCAAUUCAAAUGGAUCAUGAGCCUAAUCGAGUUUUCUUUUUUAGUACAUUUUUAUAUUAUCAUGUAGAAAGAGCUUAACUCCGAACAAGCUUAAUCAAGCUAGAGUUCGAGCUUGAAUACGAAAAUUGAUCAACAAGCUUAGUUUAAGCUCAAGCUUGAGUUUAGAAAUUCAUGUUCAAGUUGAGCUUGAGACAAGUAUUGAGUCCUGAACUUUGAGUCGAGUUUGAGCUUGAACUUGUCACUAAUCGAGUUCUGCUUGACUCGAUUACACCUGUAGGCCCCUGCUUGCCCUCCUUUGCAUCCACCUCUGCUAUUAGUAUUUUAAGUAAUUGAGCUACUAAAACAUCUCUGAAGUUUGCAUUUUUAGGAUUCUUUAAUGUAGAUUUUUAGGGCAAGAUCAUACGAAUUCAUUAUCCUAAUCUUACAAAACAUUUUAUGCAUACAAGGUGCCAGCACCCAAGUGAGAAUUGGUUAUGCUUGUCCUGCAAAGUUGUGCUUUGUAGCCGUUUUGUGAAUAAGCAUAUGCUUGAGCAUUAUCAGCAAACAACCCAUUCCAUAGCGCUCAGUUUUAGGUAUGUAGUUAUAAUUGCCUUCUUUUUUAACUUCCCAUUUUGCUAUAUAUUUGUUGCUCGAGAAAGAGAAAGUAUCUACGGAAGUUUUUCUCGGUAACUUCUUUUUUCUUGGUUGUGUGAAUCCAGUGACCUGUCAGUUUGGUGUUUUGCUUGUGAUUCUUAUCUCGAUGCUCAAUUGAUUCAGCAACUGCGACCUUUUCAUGAGACAGCUUACAUAUUGAAAUUUGGUCAAGCCCCUCCUUUUCGGUCUGUUGAAUCUUCUCGGGUGGAAGAUAAACCGGCCAUGGAUGUGCCAUCAAGCAGUUGAAUCUGGUAUGGUUUUUAGACCGAAGGGCUGUAAUGGCAAAAGAAGGCUAGUUUGGAAUUGAAUCAAACAAUAAAUUAGUUGAAUUUAAUUAUAUGAGUUCUGUUCUAUGCAUACUGAUGGCUAGAAAUAGAUGGCUUUUUCAGGUUCAUAUUGCCUCUUCCAAAUACAAAACCACAUAUAUUUACUCAGUCUAGGUUAAGGCAGAGAAAAUUUUGCAUACCUUAUUCAGCUGUUGAGAUCUUGCUGCCCUUAUGAAUUGUUUCAAUCUCAACACAUUUAAUAAUUUACACAAACAUUUGAUCUUCUGCCCAUAUAAAUUUACUCAGUCUAGGUUUUUAUCUGAAUUGUUCUUUGAUAUUGAAUAAGUCUUCAUUAGACGACCAGGCAUUCUGUUACACAGAAUUUGCUGCCAUGUCAUAGACCUUGUAUUACUAAGGUAACCUGUGUGUUUCGGUUGUCGAGCAUUUGUUCAAGUUUCACUAAUGCACCUGCAUUCGUGUAGACGGAUUAUUUUCCGAUAGGGUAGUGAGUUCCCUCGGAAUGGAUCCCUGUUAGAUUUUUGUUUAGAUGAUUGUCUGAUAGAUUCGAGCACGACAACUUAUCGAUGUUUAAGUUAGGGGAAUCUCAGUGACUUAUGUGAAAGAUACAAAUCCAUGAUUGAACACAAACAUUAAGUUUGCACGAAAAAAAUCAGCUAGUGAGUUUUUUACAGGCUUGUGAAAGAGAAUUUAAGAUAAAUUAUAGAGUACCAAGAUACAACAUAGAUAGAUGAUAUGCAUUACAAGCUGUCUUGACAUCUCCGUUCUUUCUGUGGAGUUUCGAUGUUUAUUUUUUAAGAUGAGGAAAGCACGCGUACACGUCGGACUUUGGAUGCUUCGCCUCAGCGUGCUCCCGGCAUUUCACUUCCGUUGUGGUACACAUGAAUGUUUGCAUACACACCUUGCACUGUUUUCAGGCACCAUCAUAAACCAGUUAUGUUAUCAGAGGAAACCCAAGCAAAGGACGACAAUGAUAUGAACAAGAAACCAAAACCCGAGUCAUGUAUCUGAUAAUGUAGUUCAAUGUGUCUAAAUUCAUUUUGACAGUAUCAACUAGUGAUGUAACAUGAUGAAUGUUCGAAGUUAAGAAAUGUUAUUUCUGGAAUUCUCAAGUGCAUUUAUUACCAAAUUCCACUCAAACAGAACACUAGAAAGGCAGUUUUUGCAAUCAAUGAUUACUUAUAAGAAUUUUAGGAAGGCUCAGACAAUCAUACAAAUUCUUCUCAUCAAUAUUUGUAACUUGAGAAAGUUCAUGCAAGAGAAGCUUAAAUUCAAGUAUUGUGUCUGCUCGUGGUUUUCUUCAAUGGAAGAUGUAGAGAAAAGGCCAAUUCCUCCCUAAAAUGUCUUCCAAGUGUCAUCUGUUGGGAGUCGAUAAAUCCCUCAACAGGUAGGUAUUGCCCUCGGUUGGAAUUUGUCUCCCAACUCUAACGAGAGAUCAAGUGCUUGAGGCAAUGGUUCAUAGAGCGGGAGUAACUUUUCUUCUAAGUGGCAUACACCACGCACGGUCCAUCUCAACGAGGUGCUCCAGCUGUGUGAACCUAUCACCUCAAGCAUUCAAGCUCUCGACUUUCCGAAGACAAACUCUUAUCACUUUGAAGACUUCGGUCUCCCUCGACAAAACAAAAUAAUGACCAAAAGUCUACUGACAAUGAACAAUUGACAAGCGAAAAACACUCUCAAAUCGUAAUUCGCGCGUAGGAACUACGCAAUAAGUUCCCAUGAAACCAUACAAAGCUUUAAUCCAAGAAUCUCUCUCAAGAAUUUCAACAAACACUCUCUUCAAAAUACAUCACAACAAAAAUAGUCAAACUACAAACACAGAAAACUAGCGAAGGAAAUCCCAACUUUUUCAAAGGAAGAUAAACAAAUAAAUCAUAAACCACUGGACAAAAACAACAGAUCAAGCAAAGUAUAGUUUUAAAAUCAAAGAAAGAAAUGAAAACCAGAGCAUCCAAAGAUACUACCUGGAUGGACAUGGCCUUCUUGUUAGACUCAAGCUGGCUUCCUAUCAAAAAACCAAAGCUUAAAGAUCAAUGAUGGAUCUAACUAAAAAGAUGGUCUAAAAAAAACAGACCCAAAGAUUAGCAAAGAGAUGGAGAAAGAAAGAAAAAGUGGAAAGGAAGGAUUUGGGGAGCACCUUUGCCAGCAGCUUUUUGCUUUUCCAAGUUCUUCUCACGGGCCAUCUUGGAUUUUUGGCCAUUUCCUCCUCCCAUGGUGGAUUGAUGAGGGAAAAAAAGAAGGGUUUUUUGAUCGAAUUGGAAGUGAAAACUUGGAAGAGGGAACUAUCAGAGAUGAUUAAGGCAAAAUAAGGGAAAUGGGGGGCAGAAUAGAGACAAGACUAUGAACCACAAAGAAAGUAGAUUCGAAUAAAGUAAUGCAAGUGGGGCCAAAAGGAUAAAGGCUGGAAAUCGCCGAUAAAGGAAAACGCCAACUAGUUGAAUUUAGGUACAUCAGUCAGAUCUGUUACUGUUCUAUAUAUCACCCGAUUGUGAGGUGGAAUUACAGGGUAUUAUGGGGGAGUUUGGGUUCCGAGCGAGUUUAUUUAAGGUAUUUAGAUUAAUUAUUUAAGUUCGAAUUUAGUCAAAAAAUAAUUUUUUUUAUCUAAAUUUAAUCUAAUUUAAAAAAAAAUUAGAUCUAAUUUGAUCCGUAUAUAUUUAAUUUUUUUAAGUUACUUUUGUUAUACAAUUAUAAUAAAAUAUAUAAUAAUUCAGCCUGAAGUCCGACCCGAUAAAUCUCUCUCUAUAUAUAUAUUUAAAGAUUCUCUUUGAGAGGAGGGUACUUCAUACACUCUUUUUCUUUUAUCUUCUUCUUCUCUAUUGCUUCACCAGAAUGUCUUUCCCUUCUUUUUCCACGUACUAAGAAUGAUAAAAUAAAAAUUUUUUAACACAUUAAAAAUUAUUUAUAUUAAAAAAACACUAUCUUAAAUAUAAUAAAUAUUUUUUAUAUUAAAAAACAUAAAUAAAAAUAUUAAAUAUUUUAUUGUAUUAAAUAUAAAUUUUAAAAUUUUAUAUUUUGGUUUAGGUUAUUUAGUUGAAUAAGUUUUUUUAAAAGUUUUGAGUAAUGAGUUUAAUUGUUAUUGGGUUAAUGAUUUAAUAUAAGUAUAAAUAUAUAUAAUUAUUAUUUAACAUAUAUAUAAUUAAUAUAAUAUUAUUUUAUAACAUAAUAUUCGGGCUGAAUCGAGCUCGGGCCAAGAAAAUCUUACUAAAAGCUCAAAUCAUAUAGAAAAUAGACCUUAAUUUUACCUAAGCUCAUUUUUUGGGUGGAUCUUGAGGCUUGGGCUAGCGGUCCAGCCCAUGAGUAGGUCUAGGUGGAAUAAUAAAUAAAUAUUUAAUGUUUGAAUUUAUUUUUUAGUAAAUAAGUACCGUUAAACAAUAUUUUUUAAAUUGAAUUGGUGGUCGAACCGGUUAGGCCAUCAAUUCACUGGUCCAAUCGAUUUAAUUAAAAAAUUAUUAAUUAAAAAUUUUUUUCUAUUCAACUGAUUUAAUCGUUGAUUAACGAUUCAACUGAUUUUUUACUUAAUUUAUACUGAUUCUUAUAUACAAAAAAAUAUAAAAAAUAGUUAUAAUAUUAUAAAAUUUAUAAUUUUAAUCAAGAUAUGUAAAUUUAAAAGAGGGGUAUUUUGAUAGUUUUUAGGGGUGGGCCGAUGCAGGCUUGAUCAAAACUGAGAUCAAUUUCAUCCUGACCCAAAACUCGAUUUUCUUUUCAAUUUCAUCCCCUCUCUAACCAAAUCGGGUUGAAAUCCAAUAGAUUUGGGUUAAUUUGCUAGUCAUCAAUUAUUGCUUGGACCCUGUCAACUCUAAGAUCAACUGGAUCUUCAUCAAUUGCCCUCAAACAUUUUACAUGAAUGUUUCCAAAAAAUAAUAGCAAUUGGAAUUGAAAAAUUAUUUUUGUGUCGUUUUAGUUCGAUUGGUAUCGGUAUUAUUGUCAGUGCAGGAGGAUGUGGGUUCAAGUGCGUUGAAAUGUAUUAUCCUCCUAUUUAAGGGUUGAGAAUGGGCUAUGGGUAGUUUUAGACUUAUUAUAUCAAAAAGAGCAAAUAUGAUUAAUGUUAAAAAAUAGACCCUAAAAACUUGACCAUUUUUUUCUCUUCUUUUUUACUUGAGAAUAUUACGGGUAAAUUUCAAUUCCAAUCCUUCUAUUUUUUAAUUACAAAAAAUGGUUAAAUUUUAAUCUGAUCCCUAUAUUUCACUCAAUUUUGAGAUUUAAUUUAUAUAUUUUAAAAUUGACAUGACUUGAUAUCUCAACUUUUAUAAUGUCAUUGGUUAGUCUAAAUAUUUUUUUCUCGUUAAAACAAUGGUGUGAAUUUUUAAGAAUUGUUAGCACCAUGAAAAAUCUUUGUUAAAUUCGGGUUUAUUACAAUGUUAUUUUUUUGUUAUGUGGAUACCAAUUUAUUUUAUUUUAUUUUUUUGAAAAUGCCACACCAACACAAUAAUUAAGACAAUGUUAACAAAUAGACCUAAAUUUUUAAAUUUGAAAAGUAAAGAGACUAAAUUUUUUAAAAUAAAAAUUUAGAGAUUAAAUUCUAAAUAUACGAAUAAUACAAAAAUUUCAAACAAAUUAUAAUUUUUAAAUUUUUACACUAUAAAUUAAUUAAUAAUUAAUUAAUAAACUCAACAAAAAUUGUGGGUGAAACCAUACUAGUAAGUAGUAACUAUACAUAAAAUGUAUUGGACUUGCUGCCACGUGUCACACCCAACUAUAUUCAUUUUCUAUUCUUUUUGCAUUUUUACCAAAAACUGUUAAAUUUCAGCUUUGGUCCCUUUAAUAGGCCUAAAUUUGAGAUUUAAUCUAUAUACGUUAAUUUCUAAAAUAAUAUGUCCCUUAUAGUUUUAUAAUGUUAUUAUUUAGUACAAAUAGUUAAUAUUGUUUACUUUUUUAUUAAAACAUUAUGUGGUUAUAUAUAAAUUGAAUACCCUAAGUCUUAGAGACUAACUUGUGGCUUCCCAAAAUAUUUGCGUUAUUUUUUCUUUUUUACAUUAUAAGACAAUGGUCAAAUUUUAAUUUUAACCCUAAACUGUAUUGAAACUUGAGAUUUAAUCUAUAUACUUUAUUUAUCUUUUACAUAAUUCGGUCCCUCUAAUUUUAUAAAGUCAUUAGUUUGUCUAAAUAGUUAAUAUUGGUCAACUAUUUCAAUCAAAAUGUUGGCGUCAAUCUAGAAAAAAAUAUUUCAUCAUGACGAUUUUGAAUGGGUAUUUUUAAGAAAAAUUGUAAUAAAUAUUUUCAAUGUUUUUUUUAAUAUAUGGCUACGAAGUGAAUAUAUAUUUUUUAAUUUCAAAAUGUCAUACUUGAGAAUUAAUAAAAGAAAUUUAACGAUGGUAUCAAUUGGACCUGGAAUUUUAAAUCCAAAAAGUAGAUUAGUAUAUUCUCAAAAAUAAAAGUAAGGGGACUAAAUUCCAAAUGUAUGAAGUGUAUAGGGACUUGGAGAAUAUUUUAACAUUUGAAUUUUUUACUUUAUAAUUUGACAUAAACAAAUAAUCAACCCAACACGAAGUGUGGGCUAGGAACCACGCUAGUUUAUAUUGAAUUUUAAGUUCAAGAUAAGUACAACAAAAUUACCUCUAACAUGGUCAAAGACGAAACCAAAAUAAUGUUGAUAAUUAAGAAAUAAAGAAAUAUAUAAUUGUUGAAGGGGUAUCGACUUCUUCCAGAGAUGUCUUCAAUAUGCCGUCCUCUAAGCAACCGACUGAAGCCCCCAACAACCAAAGGUAUUGUCCUUGGGAGAGAGUAUUGUCCCCAGCCUCCGCGAAGAGCCAAUGUGCCGUGAGUGGCUACCCUGAAAGUCUACUUCAUACAUGGGUGCCUCGAUUAUACGUAGACAUAUGACCACUCAUUGAGAGGCAAUGAAAGCAUCUCGCCCUUGGUGGAGUUUAAACCCCUCACCAAUAACAUAUAAGUCACUUAUUGGGGUAUAUCUGACCCAUAUAGAUCACAAUGACAAUCUUUUUUAAUUCAUUUUCUUCUUCUUCUUCUUUAUCAAGCACCGUCAAUUUUAUUUUCUAUCCACAUUUUCGCUGUCAAUUUUUUUAUUCUAUUUUUUCAUUUAACUAAACGUACCUUAAAUGUCAGUUUGAAUAUGACGCGGAGCACGUGUAAAAUACAUGAAUCAAAUUGUAAUUAAAGACAUGUUUAUAAUGUAUUUGUCACAUAAAUAACUUGAAUUUGACAUGUUAAAAGAAACAUAUAGCAUCAUUAAUAGGGGUGAAUUUAGAAAUUUUCUAAACAUUGGAAUUGAAUUAUAAAAUUUUUGAGAGUUCAAAGUGUAAUUUUAUAAUGUAUUAACUUAUAAUUUCAUCAUUUUAAAAAAAUACAUUUUUUUAGAGAUGUAAAGCAUAAUUUUAUCAUUACAAAAUUUUAAUUUAAUCAUUUAUAAUAAAACUAUAAAGAAACUUCUUAGGGGUGGGUUUCAAAGCCCACAUAUCCCCCACAUUGUAUUAUCCUCUUAACGUCCAAUGAAUGUCCGAAAUUAACCUAUAUUAUUUUUUUGGUAAAAAAGUAGCAGAAAUCAGCUACAUCAACAUAGUUCUAAUGAGAAUUUCCCAUGGUUUCGAUUUGCUGAAGAUCAGCUAACAACAAUCCUCUAAUAUUCAUUGGAGGCUAUUUAAAAGUGCAAAUCAUAUUUAAAUCUUCAGCAUCCAUCUUCGCCAAGUAAUCCACAACCUUAUUUUGUUCCAUUGGAAUAUGUCGAAAUUAAUAGCUAAAUUGAUGGAAGGAGCUAAUUAUAUGAAACCAUAUUUUGAAGACUUAAUCAAAAUUCUUUGAAGAUUAGGACCAAAUUAAAAUCUAAAUUAUAAAUUGAGAACCACUGCUGCAAUUAAUCUAAAGAGUAUCAUAUAAAGCCAAAUUUGGCGUUAAAACUUUAAAUUUUCUAUUUAUUUAUCAGUUUCCCACCGUACAAGUUUUUUCCCGCGUUUCUUCGAAGGUUUCUAAUAACUUCUAUUGGUUUCCAUUUCUUAAUCCAAAAUAUAAUUUACAAAGUAUGAAGUUAAUUAUUUUUGUAAAAAAUGGAAGCUUAGUUUGCAAAUCAGAUCAAAACAUUCGGGAUUUUAGCCAUUUUUUCAGGUGAAUUACGAGCGCAUCGGAGUUAUUCUACACUCGAAGGUCGAGUGGGCCGACGACCCGACCCGCAUUCAGGAUUUGGGUCCUUAAUUGAUCGGAAUUACAAUCGCGCCGGAAAUCAUUUCAGUCACCAUAAUCGGAGGCUUGAUUUGGACGGCCGUGAUCCUCUCCGCCGUAUUCUCUACGCUCACGUGGCUUCUCCCUUUCCCUACGCUCAUUGCACAUAAUGUUUUUUUUUCGUUUGGUUGCUUAGAAAAGAAAAACGGAAAAAGGAAAAAAAUAAGUAUACGAAUUAAUAGAUGUUCUUGGAAGUGAAAAUAGAUUGAAUUUUCAUUUUGUUGAAAUAAAUUUUGAUUAAUUAAUUUAUUUUGCUUUGAAAAUCAGUAGCUUAAAGAUAAAUCUAUUAGUUGAAUUACUGAAAGUAGUUAUGAAAUGUAAAAUUUUCUCGAUAAUUUAUCUGAGUUCUGAGCCCUAAGCUAAAUUGCUGUAAAUUUCAUCCAAUAACAUAUAAUAUGUAUACAGAUAGAUAAGAUUGCUUGAUAUUGCAUUACCUUGUGAUUUGCUUUUACUUUGGGGAAAUUACUUAACAGUUAAGUGCAUUGAGCUAGUGUUGCUAGUACCUCUUCUUCAGUAAUGAAUAUUUUGAGUGUCUUUCAGAGAAAUGCUAUAAUGAAUUUGGCUUUGUCAUGCAGCAACCAGUUUGUGUAAGUAGUUCAAGUAGGCCACGUUUAAGUUCGAACUAGCGACUUCCCGGAGUUUUGCUGCGAGUAAGAGGCGCGUCCAUUUCUUCAAACAGGUUGGUGCUUAGAGCUCUCUGCAAGUUUCAAAUUCAUAGCACUUGCAUUGGUUGUAUUUACUGUGAUUAUUUACCUUGUCAAGUAGAGCUAGUAAUUCUGCAAGUUCAUAGCAUUUGCAUUAAUGCACUUAUGGCACUUUUAGUGCUUUUGCUGCACUAGUUGGACUAAAAAUAUAUCCACCAUUCUUGCUUUGACACCAAUUUCCAUUCAACCCGUUUAAAUUCUCGAAGGACAGCAUAUCUAUAACUUUCUCAACUCUACUAGAAUCCAAAUCAUGAUUUUGCUUUUUUGUUCUACUUUUAUUUCGUGGAUAUGUUGAGUGGUGCAAAAUGAUCAAAAGGGGGGCAACUAUUAAACUAUCAACUUGUGUCAUAAUCUGUAUAGGACGAUUCAGUGUCAUAUAUGGUUGAUUGUGAUCCAUUAUUGUUGCUGCAUCCAUAAAAUGAAAUUGUGGGUCUGACUGGGUUUAGCAAUAAGGAAAAGAGGUACCAUGUGAUCUUUUAGGAAGAUAGAUGGCUUGGGUUAUCACCGGUUUAUGCAUAGAUCAAUUUCAUAGGAGUAACCUAAAAUGCACUCUGAUGCAGCAAUUUGUCGGUUGCAUUGUCACUAGUGUAUUCAAUUUUCAAUAAUUGUUUUGGCGCUUGAUACCCUAGCUAUUUUUUUAUAGAAUUGCCUGCUAUAAUCAUCAUGUUUCAACAGACUUUUUUUUGUCCCUCUUUAGACAUUAGAUAUUCUGGUAAAAUUUUGCUAUUAGUCCAUAUACUAUGCACAAGUUGCAAAUUUUUGUACUUAUACUCUAAUUUGGUUAUUUUUAGUCUUUGUACUUUUCAAAUUUUGAAAAUUUAGUCCUGAACAAUGGCUGACAAAUUCAUUAAGUUAAAAUUUGUUAUUUCCAACAUCUUAUGCCACAAACAUAUUAUCACAUUUGUAAUUCUAUGUUAACUUGCUAUUUUCACAUAAUACUUCAAGAAAAUCGUUUCAUAUUAGUUAAUAAAUUUAAUAGCUCUUGUUUGAGUCAAGAUCGAAAUUUUAAAAUUUGAAAAAUAUAAAGAUUAAAAAUGAUCAAUUUGAAGGACGUGGAUUAAAUCCACAAUUUAACGCCAUAGUAUGGAACUAAUAGCAGAAAUUUUAGAGUACAUAGACUAAAACCUGCAACUUACAUAUAGAACAUGGACCAAUAGCAGAAUUUGACCACUUAUUUAUAUUCUUGAACAGAUUAAAUUCACUCUUUUUAUGCUCAAAAAAAAUCUGUCAUUACUUUGAGCCUACUUCUGUUAAUGCAUUAAAUCAGAUAUUUCUUUUGCUACUCCCCAGCUAUUAGUAGUACCAUAAUUUCCAGGCCCACUGCUGCUUGACUUGCAUCACUAACAACCAAAACGGUCCAGUCCCACUGCCGGUGUGCUUCCCAUGUAGUAUAUUAUUGUUAUUUACAUCACUUUCCACUACCACUAUUACCCAGCUAACUUCCUAGUAAAUUAGCAUUUCUAACCAUGUGGACCACUAGAACUUGUGGCACUCAGUAAUGAAGAUAUUUAUGUUUCUGUCUUUCAUUACGCAGUGGACUACUUCAAGGUCCGAACUGCGGUUUAAACAUUUUAUACUUUUUUUCCCUUUUUCGUUUUCUAAUUUACUUAUUUUGUCCUUGUUUUAAUUUUUUGAAUUUUCUUUUGACUGAAUCAGAAAUCAGUAUUUUGAUUGAUUUGAACGUCGAUUUAAUUUUUGUGACACAGCUAUCAUGUAGGCAGAGGUUUCGUUCACUAGACUUGCUUAGAUCUUGGGUUAGAGCUUGUGGGAACUGACCUUACUAUAGAAAAAGCAUAUACUAUCUCUAUUAUGUACCCAGUUGCAAGGUAUUUGAAUUAAAUCCCACUUAAAAAGUAUGAGAUUUUUAGUGAAAUUUAUAUGAACCAUGUUUGUCUCAACUUCAACAACUAGCUUUUGAGGUAUAAUUCUCCAUUGAUCUAUUUUUGUUAGUGCUUCAGUUUCCUUAACAUUGAUAGCGUGUGAACUUUAAAAUGUAAAGUAUCUAUCGGUUUCAAUGUCCCUUUCCUUGCUUGACCAACCUGCCCUACUUGUUUUCCAAAAUGGACUGAAACCAAAUUGUUUUAUGUUGUUGUCAGCUACAGUAUUGGUACUCACCAUGCUCAGAGUCUCAACCUCUAUGUUAAAACCUUUUUCCUUGAAAUUUCCUAGGCAAUUUUGGACACAUAACAUACAUAAAAAACAAUACAAAUAUAUAAUAUUAAUAUAAAAGUAUGUCAAUAGUAAGUUUAAGGUUAAAAUAUAUCAUAAGUCCUCAUGUUUUUCAAAAAUCUAAAAUUUAAUCUUUGUAUUUUGUUAAAUUUAGAUUUAUUAUAAUGUCUUUUUUUUAGUUACAUAGCUAUCAAAUGGAUAUUUUUUUAUUUUAAAAUAUUAUACUAAUAAAUUUAAUAAAAAAAUUUAACUAUAUUAAUAAUUAAAUCUGAAUCUUAAAAUAAAAAAAGUGAUACAAUUACUGAAAUAGGGAUUAAAUUCUAAAUUAGGUAGAAAGAAUUUACCUAAUCUGAUAUGACAUUUAUCAUGAUUUGAAAGUUUUGUAUUAAAAUGCCAAUUUCCCCACACGAGAAAUGUCACAUGUAUCACAACUUGUUAGGAUCAUUAUUUAUAAUAAACAUAAAAGCAGAUGUAAAUCAUAUCCCUCAUUUGACUCUCUAGAGGCAAAAAGAGGGAAGCAUAUUAUACUCCACUUAAUACAUUGAACAUAUACUCUUCCUUUUUCAAUUGUAUAAAAUAUUCAUUUAAGAUAAUCUUUAUCAUGAAGAAAGCUAAAAAGAAACUUAAAGGAAAAAAUGAAAAAAAGGGGAAAAUGAAAGUUUAAGUUUUACAGAAGAUCCUUAUACUAUGAAUUUUUUGUAUAUCUAGUCCUAUAUAAUUUAAUAUUUCUACUCCUAUUUUACCAAACAGGUAUUUUUAGUUUGGAUGUCAACUUUUUCUUCUAAUUUUGCUAAAUAUUAUAAUAGGAUAUAGCACUUGACUGUACAUCUACAUUUUGUACAAUUAGAUAUUAUUUUUGUAUAUUUAGAAAAAGAAUAAAAUUAUAAUAAAGUGUAUAAAAAAAUGCAAAAGUGAUAAUGUAUUUAAAUAUUAAGGUAAAAUUAAUCUCAAGUUAGACCCAUGACAACCCACUACCUCUACCCCUAUAAGCAUUACAAAAAAGUGAUUGAGGGUUAAAAAUUAUCAAAGUAUAGAAAAAGGACUAAAUCCGAAAAAAUGAAAAAUGCAGAGUCCUUUAUGAAAUUUUACCAAAAUGAAAACGGAAACUUAAACGCGGAGAGUACAGCAGUAUUCGGGUCUUUGGUCAUCUUCCUCUUCACGCGGCAUCUUCCUCUUUAAUCGCCAUUUUCGCUUUCUCUCUCAUUAUAUAUCUUUAAAAACCAUUCUUCAACCUAACAAAAAAAACCACAGCAACAAAAAAGAAAACCAUACAAACAAAUCCUAAAAGACUCUCUUUACAACGUAAAGAGCAAAAACCCCAACAGCAAAACGUGUAGUAAUAAGGCAAAAACACGGUAGGGAAGGAAGGUUGUUAAUAUAUACAUAUAAAAGUUAUAACGGAAGAAAGGUCGAACGAUUCAAAAAAACCCAACGAUGGCUAUGAUGUUACGGUCGCUCGCUAGGCCGCUUGAACGUUGCCUUGGGUUAAGGGCCGGUGGGGAUGGUCUCAUGUGGCACACUGAUCUUAAACCUCAUGCUUCGGGCGAGUACUCAAUCGCCGUCGUUCAAGCCAAUAAAAACCUUGAAGAUCAAGGCCAAGUCUUUACAUCUCCUUUAGGUACCUAUGUUGGUGUUUAUGAUGGUCAUGGCGGACCCGAAGCUUCCAGAUUUGUAAACAAGCAUCUUUUCCCAUUUCUCCACAGUAAUUGUUCUUUGACCCUUUUAAUCUUUUUCUUAAUUAUUUUUCUGGGUUUUUUUUUAGAUUAUCUGAAAUGGGGUUUUCUUUGCGUCUAAUUUUUCAAGAUUCAAAUAUUCUUUUGUGUUUUAAUGGUCAAAGAGAAUUUUGGGUUUUUGUCAGUUAAUGAUAUUUUGAACAACUUACAAAGUGUCUAUCAUGCACGUUUAUUUAGUUAUUAUUUGUGUAUCUGAAUGAAUAUGAAUUACUUUGUCUAAAUAUAAAUCUUUAUGCGUUUGAAAUUGGAAUUUGGUUCUCAAGAUUCUAAAACCAUUCAGUUUAAUUUCAAUUUUUGGCACCUUUCACCUCCUUGCUUUAUUGGGUUUUGUCAGUGAAUGGUUGUGUUCUUGUUUUAAUUUUUCUGUCUUAAUUGUAGAAUUUGCUACAGAGCAAGGGGGAUUAUCUGCAGACGUGAUAAAGAAGGCGUUCAAUGCUACUGAAGAAGAGUUUUUACAUUUGGUGAAGCAAUCAUUGCCCGUAAGGCCUCAAAUUGCUUCAGUUGGAUCAUGUUGCCUUGUUGGUGCGAUAUCCAACGAUGUGUUGUAUGUGGCGAAUCUCGGCGACUCGAGAGCAGUUCUUGGCAAAAGAGUUUCGGAGGAUAAGAAAAACAAGGUUGUGGCAGAGAGGCUAUCAACAGAUCACAAUGUUGGAGUUGAGGAAGUGAGGAAAGAGGUUGAGGCUCUUCAUCCUGAUGAUUCGCAUGUCGUGGUUUACACUCGCGGAGUUUGGAGGAUUAAGGGCAUAAUCCAGGUACUUAACAAAAUCUAUUGGCAAACCCAAUUAUAAGAGUUUUAAGUUGAAUCAGACAGGUUGAAGAACAGUUCAUGUUUUGGUUCAAUGAAUUCGAUGGAUAUACAUGUUUCUUUCCAUCAAUUGCUUGUAUGUUUGUAGAAAAGGUAUAUUUACAAAACAAAUAAACAUUGUGCAUCCUCUGAAUCAUAAUGCUAAGCUUAUGUGACUAUAUGGAGUCUUCUCUCUUUUCUUUUUCGGGUUUUUUGGGUUCCUUUUGUUGAUUUCUUUCCCCUUUAACUUCAGCAGUUAAAUGGUUCUCUGUAAUGGAUAAUGUUGGUCUAAGCAUUGAACUUGUUUCUUUAUUCAGGUGUCAAGAUCUAUCGGUGAUGUUUACUUGAAGAAACCCGAUUUUUAUAGAGAUCCAAUCUUUCAACGAUUCGGAAACCCUGUUCCCCUUAAAAGACCAGUUAUCACGGCAGAACCCUCCAUCCUUAUUAGAAAGCUUAAGCCCCAAGACUUAUUUCUGAUAUUUGCAUCAGAUGGCCUAUGGGAACAGUUGAGCGAUGAAACCGCGGUAGACAUUGUUUUCAGAAACCCCCGAGCUGUGAGUAUUUACCUUUGUCUUAUUGGUUAAUUUAGUCUUCAUUAGCAGCUGGACCGAAUGACAGAGUAUUGAUUUUAAGUUUGCUUGUAUUACUUGCAGGGUAUUGCUAAGAGACUGGUAAGUGCCGCACUUAGAGAAGUUGCAAAGAAAAGAGAGAUGAGAUACGGCGAUAUUAAGAAAAUCGAGAAGGGAAUAAGACGGCAUUUCCAUGACGAUAUAACCGUGAUCGUCAUUUACCUAGAUCAACACCGAGGCUCUUCACAUAACAUAGUUAAACAUAAUGCCAUGGGGUGCACGACGGCGCCAGUCGACAUCUAUUCAUACAAUGCAGAUGAAGGAUAUGAAGGAGAUUUACUUCAAACAGUUUCUUGAAUACACAACAGAAUGAGUUAAUAUUAGGUUUAGCACACUGACUUUUUAUUCUUUUUCAAGUCUUAUUCAUGUAUAGAGAAACCAAAUGAUGGGGUGGGAUUGGUUCUUAAACCAAUGUUUCAUUGGGAGAAAAAUCGAGAGUUUGGAAGGUAAUUUUAGUCACCUCAGACGGAUUCCGACACAGGCGGCUAUAGGUGUUCCGGUUGAAGUUCUAACGGUUACCGAAAAGGCUACAUUGUUUUAUUGGUUUAUUAAAUUCAUUGCUUAUAUUAUAUUUAAUUCGAAGUGAGUAACUAAAGACAAUUAAUUACGUUAUUAAUUUUUCUUGUCAAUUAUACAUAAUUUUGAUUGGUGUAAUAACAAAUUUAACCCUUAAUAUUUAUAUAUUUUGUGCAAAUGUUGACAGAAUAUGUAAAUGUUGUAGGUUAAUUUCGUUAAAUCGUGAUUAAAUUGACAGAACAUGUAAGUGUUAUGGGUUAAAUUUGUUAAAUCAAUGUUAAAUUGACAAGAAGUAUAAACUUUAAGGGCGAAUUUUGUUACUAUACCGAUAGAAAAAGUAUAAUUGAUGAAAAAAUAUUGAUGUUAUGAUUAAUGGUCAUUAGUUGCUCACUUUUAAAAUCGACAAGAUUAAAUUGUUAUAGUUUUUUUGAGAGGGACCAAUUUGUUCAAAAUGAAAAUUGAGAAGAAUCAAAAUGUCAUUGUACCUGGUUCUUAUACAUACCAUAUCUAAGUUGUGAAUUUAGUUUUUGUACAUUAAUUUACUCAAUUUCAGUCUCUUUACUUUUUAAAUUUAAAAUUUUAGUUAUGAUUUAGAUUGUAAAUUAAAUUCGUUUCAUUCUAUUAUGUUAUUAGUCUUAUACUAUUAUUACAGUUGUGAAUUUAAUUCAUGUUUUUUAAUUUUAUCAUUUUUAGUCGUUAUACUUUUCAAAUUUUAAUGCAAACGAAAAUAGUUAAAUCCAUUAAACGUAGGUUUUCUAUGUGUGCAAUAUAUGAAAAUAGCAAAUUGCAACUAUUAUUUGAUCGAGACUAAAAUUGAAUAAUACAAAAAAUACAAAAAUUAAAAUUAAAUAAAUUAAAAGAUAGAUAUUAAACUCACAAUUUAUUCAUAUACAUAAACUAAUAACAUAAUUCUUAAUACUCUUAAAUUAAAAACAACACUUAAUAAACUACGAGAGUUAGGUGAGAUGACAAAUAUCUCUCCUAUAUUAACCAGUGGUUGAAAGUUUGAUCCUCGCAUUGGGUAUAGAAUAACUUUAAAAACUCGUAGUCGGCAUCUAUUAUUUUAAUAGACCUAAAAAUGCGGAGAAUUAAUUACUGAACUCGCUCUAAGCAUGACAUAACACGACAAAGUUGGCUUGUAAUUUGUAUAUCUAAACCAAAAGGGAAAAAAUGUUUUGCGAGACAAAUUCCUUAAACUGAAAGACAUGGGAAUUUUGGCAACUAGAUAGCAAUAACCAAACUUGUUAGGUGAAACGAACCAAACUAAAGCACAAAACGACAAUCAGUUGCGCUAAAGUUAGGAUGUCUUGUCACUUUUAAAUUUUUAUUAUACAACUUGCUUCACUAAACAAAUACUAUUUAAUGAACUUUUUAAUAUUCUUACUCUACUUUUCAAUAAUUCAUAAAGCUAAUAAAUAUAUUAUAUUCUUUCAAAUUACUUUUCUUUAAAUUAUUUUUUCUUUAUUUUAAUUGAAAAUUUUUAUUGUAUUAAUUGCAUAAAAAUACUCAAAAUUUUAAUUUAUUCUUUAAUUUCGAAAUAUGUUUAAACGUUAAAACGUUAAUUUUGAUAUGAUGUAAAGUACAUUUAAAAUGCCCGAAUUAAAUUGUAAAUUUAUGUAUACUUACAUCAUUAAUAACUUGGAUCUUACGUAUUAAAAAAAUAGUGUUAAUAAAUUUUAGGAGGGUUAACACUUUUAACUGUUAGAACGAUUUUUUUAAGUAGAAAUCAUGUUGGUACUCUAACUAGAAUGGUUAUACUUUAGUUACUUGGGUUAACUGUUAAUAUUAUAAAAAGUAGAAGAUUAAAUUACAUUAAAUAAAAUUAUGGAGAUUAAAUUUUAAAUUUGAGCACAAUAAAGGGACCAAAACUAUAAUUUAACUCUUUUUAAAUUCAAUAUUUUGUUGAAGGAUUAAAUUGGGGUUGAACUUGAAACCUACUUCUAUAUUGGGGCUUGAACUUUUUUUUUGUCUAAGUUGCUCCCUAAACUUAGCAAUUUUUCUCAUAUUGAAGUUUGAACUAGGCCAUUGUUCUAAGGGGCGAAGCCAAAAUUUUUUUUUUUGGGAGUUGGAAUUAAAUUGUAUAUUUUUAUGGUAGUAAGAAUGUAAUUUUACCAUUUUAAUAGCCUAUGUCAUUAUAAUUUUAAAGGAUUAAAUCAAUUUUGUAUUAUUUAAGAGGUUAAAGUUCAAAUUUAUCAUUACUAAUUUAAAAUUUUAUAAAUUAUAAAAAGUUUAAAUAGAAAAUUUUUCAUUUUAGGGGGAACUGGGGGCCUUGCCAACCUCUCUGGCUUUGCCAUUGAUUGUUUCCAUAUUGGAGCUAAACUUGACAAUUGUUCCUACAUUGAUGCCUAAGUUUUAGGGUUUUCAAAGAAACAUCAUGGAUUAAUUUGGAUCAAAAAAGGUUCAAGCCCCAAUAUAAAAACAAUUACCACAAAAAAAUUCAGGUCUCAAUAUGAAAAUAAUUACCAAUUUCAGGCCCAAAAAGGUGAUUUAACCCUUUGCCCAACCCCAUUCAAGUUACCAAACGAGAGGAAAAUAACAAAUUCCUAGAAAAUCUACAAUUUUGUGCGCUAAAAAAGAAAAUACAAAUAGUCGUUUCAGUAUAAUUUUCUCGGAAAAUAACCAAAACCCAGUCCUUUAAGCUUCAACAUCCAAAGAAAAAAGAAUGACUGCAAGUCAUUUGGUUGCUGAAUCCGUGUGGAAAACAAUAGAGUCAACUCAUUCAGGUCUUUCUUUUUUUCCCCCCUUAUUUAUUCUUUCUAUGUAGAAACUAAAUUCCAUCUUCUUCUUUUUUCCUUUUUUAAAUCCCUAAAUUUUGUGAUCUUAUGACCCAAAUUGGCCAGUAAAUGAAGAGCAACUAUCAAUGUAAGCAAUACUCAUUUUCUUUUAAAUCUUUUAUUCUUGGGCUUUUUAAAAUAAAAAUAAAAAUAAAAAUGGUGGGUAUUGAUUAAUUUUGAAUUUUCUUUUAUUGUAGCUUGCAUUUUCUGUUUGGUAAAAACUUCGAGAGAGCAACAAGGAUAGUUGACCAAAGGGGUGUCAAGAAAAUCUCCGGUGAACCCAGCGGUCGUUUUAUCUUUCAGGUUCAUUCUCUUUGUUGCUAUCUCAAUUUUUGAAUAUUGGUCGAAUUCUCCUAUUAGUCCAUGCACUCUGCAUAAAUUGCAGAUUUAAUCCAUGUUCCUCGAUUUAAUGUUUUUAAUGAUUUGUUUUUCAAAUUGUAAUUUUAGUAUCAUGUUAUAUCUAUUUAAUUUAAUUAUUUUAUUUCAGUUAAUAAAUUUCACUGCUAUUGGAUAUAAGAAUAAAAAUGAUAAAAUUUUAGAACAAAUAUUAAAUCUAUAAGGUUAGGACAGAAAAAUCCAAAUAUUAUAAAAUUAAAAUUGACCAAAUUAAAAUAUGUAGACUAAAUCUGUAAUUUAGACUUAGUAUAUAUACUAAGGGAAGAAUUUGUCAUAGAAUAUUUGGACGAGUUGUCGGCUACCUUAUGUGUAAAAUAUGGUCAUUUUGGCAAAUAUUCCAUUUUAAGAACUUUCCUGGAAACUUUUCUGAAACUGUGAGCCUUGAGAUAAAACCCGAAGCAGAAUUGAGACACAUCAGUAUAUAUCCAUUUGUAUAUCUCAAUAUAUAUAUAUAACAUACGCCUGUCUAGUUAGAAUAUUUGGACAAGUUGUCGGCCACCUUAUCUGUAAAAUGUGAUCAUUUUGGCAAAUAUUCCAUAUUUAAGAACUUUCCUGGAAAAUUUCUGAAACUAUGACCCAUCAAGGCUCUUGGCAGAAUCGUGAGAUAAAACCUGAAGCAGAAUUGAGACACAUCAAUAUAUAUAUCCAUUUGUAUAUCUCAAUAUAUAUAUACAGACGCAUGUGUAGUUAGAAUAUUUGGACAAGUUGUCCUCUACCUUUUCUGUAAAAUGUGAUCAUUUUAGCAAAUAUUCCAUCUUAAGAACUUUCCUGGAAAUUUUUCUUAACUAUGACCCAUCAAGGCUCUUAGCAGAAUGGUGAGAUAAAACCCGAAGCAGAAUUGCGACACUUCAAUAUGUAUCCAAUUGUAUAUCUCAAUAUAUAUAUAUACAUAGGCAUGUCUAGUUAGACUAUUUGGACAAGUUGUCAUCUACCUUAUCUGUAAAAUGUGAUUAUUUUAGCAAAUAUUCCAUCUUAAGAACUUUCCUGGAAAAUUUUCUGAAACUAUGACCCAUCAAGACUCUUAGCAGAGUCGUGAGAUAGAACCCGAAGCAGAGUUGAGACACAUCAAUAUAUAUAUCCAUUUGUUAUAUAUAUACAUACGCAUGUCUAGUUAGAAUAUUUGGUCAAGUUGUCAUCUACCUUAUCUGUAAAAUGUGAUCAUUUUAGCAAAUAUUCCAUCUUAAGAACUUUGCUGGAAAAUUUUCUGAAACUAUGACCCAUCAAGGCUCUUAGCAGAGUCGUGAGAUAAAACCCAAAGCAGAAUUGAGCCACAUCAAUAUAUAUAUAUCCAUUUGUAUAUCUCAAUAUAUAUAUACAUACGCGUGUCUAGUUAGAAUUUUGGACAAGUUGUCAUCAACCUUAUCUGUAAAAUGUGAUCAUUUUAGCAAAUAUUCCAUCUUAAGAACUUUCCUGGAAAUUUUUCUGAAACUUUUUUUUCCCAUUGUUUGGUGCUUUAGGUUGUGGGAGAAUCUAGAAGAAAAGAAGAAUAUUUCUGUUUUGCUGAACAUUAUUGUGCUUGUUAUUCAUUCUUUUAUGAUGUAAUUAACAGAGCAGAACAGCUUUGUGUAAGAUUUCUUUAUUCCUUUAUUCCCCUUAUUUUAUUGCAUUUAAUAUAUAGGUAAAAUUUUUGAAAUUGAGCAAAUUGGUCCCUCUAAAAAAUUAUAGCAAUUUAUCUUUGUCAAUUCCAAAAGUGAGCAACUAAAAAUAAUUAAUCAAGACGUUGAUAUCAUUUGUCAAUUGUACAUAGUUUUGAUUGGUAUAAUAACAAAUUUAGCCUUGUUAUUUACAUGUUUAUACAAAUAUUGAGUUGCAUUUAUUAAAUCAGGACAAAAUUGAAAGAAUAUGUAACUUUGAGAGCUAAAUUAUUUAUUAUACCAAUCAAAUUUAUGUACAAUUGAUGAUCAAAAUAUUAAUGUUGUGAUUAAUUAUUCUUAGUUGCUCACUUUUGAAUUAAAACGGAUUAAAUUACUUCAAAUUUUUUAGAGGAUUCAAUAUGCUCAAUUUACUUAAAUUUUUUUAGAGGAUUCAAUAUGUUCAAUUUUAAAAUUAAAAGGGAUUAAAUUACUUUAAUUUUUUUAGAAGAUUCAAUAUGCUCAAUUUCAAAAUUGAGAGGGACUCACCUAUAUAUAUUUGCUGUAUUUUCAUAUUUUGUUUUGCUUUUGUGUAGUGUAAGCAUCAAUUAGCUGCAAGGCUUGCUGGAUCAUUGGGAGCUUGUAUUGAAGUUAAAGUGUCUGAUGAACAGCUAGCUGUAUUACUUUCUGAGCUCUAAAUUUUUGUAGUAAAAUCGUAGCGGGUCGGAUCCGAAAUUUAAUCUAGUUGGUUCAUGCAGUUACAUUUAAAGAAAUGACAUUCAAUAAAUAUGAUUCAAUUUUUGAUAAAUAAAAAUAUUGUUUGUAUGUUUAACAACAAAAAGAAUGAACAAAUUAUAAUCAUCAAAUCAAGGAACAAUAUUGUGAGUUUUCAUCUUUUUAAUCCAUGAAUUGAACGACGUUUUCGAGUUUCGGAACCCGACAAAUCCAUGUUCUUUGCUCUUGUUCAUGCUAUCCAACAGUGACUUCCCCGAAAGCACCGAAUCAACGAACUGCCAUGCUCCGGCAUUGCUCAAUUUCAUCGGCAAAAGACCGUUCUCCCUCACGAUGUUGUCCCACACCGGACCUUUGUCUUUCAUCAUUUCAACCAAGCUUGGCACCUUCUCUUCGGUUUCUUGAAAUCCGUAGUGUUCGAUACCGAACUGGUCAGCUAACACUUUCCAUAAGUCCUUCCACUUAAACACAUCUCCAUUGCUACAAUUAAAGGCUUCGUUUUUCGCUCGCCGGCUCAUUGCUGCCCAUAUUUGAUGUUCUGCAAUCAAAUCCGCAUCCGAUGCAUCCCAGUACCCUUCCCACGCUUGUCGGUUCCCCGGAAACCUCAACGGCUCGCUUUCAUGCUUACAUAUCGACGCGUAAAUGCAUAAACUCCGAACUAUAUUCAUCGAACUAAACGGAGAAAACCCAAAAACCAAUCCCGGCCUAUGAACAGACCAUGUCAAGUUCUCCUUCUGCUUCACUUCUUCCAACAAAACAUCCUCGAGCGUAUAACACAAGUUUGACGACUUAAGCCUCGGAAGAUCCUCGCGAAAAGGAGGAUCAUGGGGCUGAACAUGAUAUUUUCCGUACAAAUCAAUCGGACCGGUGUAAUGCCGACGACCGGUUUGCAAGCAUAUAUGUUUCAACUUGGGUGAAUUCGGGAUUACCGCUUUCAACACGUUCCGUAACAUAGUACCAUUGAUAACGCAGUUUUCAUCUUCAGUUGAUCUCUUAUCCCAUGCAACAUAAAACACAUGAGUCACAUCGUUAAGCUUUGAUAAUUUAUCACAUGUUUCUUCUUCAUCUAAAACAUCGCAUUGUAUGUACUCAAUAGGCAAAUGACUAGUCGAGGCUGGUCGAGGCUGACGAGCAACACCGUAGACCUUCCACGGUCCGCCGGGAAUACCGGAGAACGGAAGAAUCUCGGCGAGACUGUUACCGACUAUGCCGGUGAUGCCAAUGACCAAAGCAACACUCUUGUACUUGGAUUGUUUAUCAUGUUCUUCCAUUUUCUUCUGUAAAAAAAAAAAAAAUCUGGGUUCAUUAGAUUAAAUGCAGAGAAAGAGAACCCAAAAAAAUGAAUGAGCAUUAACGUACCUUGGCAGCACCAAUGGCUCCUGCCCACCACCAACUCAUUGUAUGUUUUUCUUUUGCUGUUAAUGAAAAAAAAUGCUGAAUUACAUCCUUAAACUUUGUCUGCAAUGUUUUUAUAGUGAUCCGCUUUGAUAAAAGUGACGUCUGGGAAUUUAAAAAAGGAAAAAAAAACCAAUCUUAUCUAUUUACAUGUAUCAACUACAGCUCAACAAGAACUUGUUAUCAAUUUGAUUUCUUUAUAAUAAUAAUAAUAAUAAUAAUUUUAGUUGGGAUAAAUUACAAGAAUAGUCACUCUUGUUUGUCUUAGAUUAUAUUUUAGUCAAUUAUGUUAUCGUUUUGUUACGAAGUGGUCACUCUACCGCUAAACUCCGUUACCUCCCUAGCGGUAGUUCUACGUGACAGUUAAAAUUAAAUUUAUUUAAUUAAAAACAUAUUUUCAUCCCAGUAGCUGGACAUCCAAGUUGGCAUUUAAAACAUGUUUGGAUUGCUACGUAGGACAAUCGUUAGGGAGGUAACGGAGCUUAACGGUAGAGCGACCAUUUCAUAACAAAAUGAUAACAUAUGUGACUAAAAUAUAACAUUUUAAACAUAAAUGAUUAAAAUGUAAUAUGAUUCAAACAAAAGUAACUAUUUUUAUAGUUUACCAUUUUAUUUUUAAUUUGUUUGAAUAAACAUGGAUACAACACAUAUAUUUUAUAUAAAAUAAUUUAAGUGGCGGAAUUUUUUAAAAGAAAAUCAGAAAGGACGUGGAAAAUGGGUUAAUUGGUGAAUAUGUGUAAAUCCUUCAAUAAUUGAAUUGGUCAGCCAACACUUAAAGACUAAGGAUUAGACAGCUAGUAAACACAUCAGCAUAUAAUCAAGCUUGCGUGGAGAACCUAGCGUGUAAGGAAACAAUACAUCCUUAUCUAUUCACUAAAUCUUCUAAUGCUAUGAAAAAAAAGGAUAGAAUUUUGUGAAUUUUAUAAUUGGAAAGUUUAAGGAUAGGAAAUUAAUAUGAAAUUUGGCUUUUUUGUUUUUUUAAUUUGUAUUCCAAGUUAGUUUUUUACUAUUUAAGUCAAACAUUUCUAUUGGGUAUUGUUAAAUUAACAUGAGUAUUAUUGUUAAUAUAGAGGAAUGUGUGUUUGAGUGCGUUGAAGUGUUAGGUCUGUUCUUGACGUUUUUGGGCCUUAACAAAACAAUAAAAUGGGUUUCAAGUUCCUUAAAAGUUGAAGAAAAAAAAUUUGGUCCCUAAAAGUUGGUAAAAAAAAUUUGGCCUUUAAAAGUUAAAAAUAAGAAUUUUGGGCCCCUUAACAAUUGGAGAAUAAUAUUUUAGACCCCUUUCAGCCUUGGGCUCUGGGAAGCCGCACCUCUAGACGACCUCUAGAGCCAGGCCUGUGAAGCGCAUUAUCCUCUUAUUUAUGGGUUGGAGUAUAAUCAGAACCUAUAAUGAGAUUGUUAAAAAAAAUUUUAAAACAAAAAAGUUUUAAGAUGGAUUGUGAAUUUAAGGUUUUUUUUUAAUGGUUACAAGUUGCUUGGAAACAAAAUAUUAGUAAAUCAGAAUAGAAAAAUAAAUAAAUAAAUAAAUUGAAAACAAUUAGUCUCUCGAUAUGAUAAAUUAAUUUUGUUUAACAUUCGUUGUAACGACGGUUAGAAAGAAAACAAGCAGCGAAAAAAAUAAAAGAAGAAAAGAAUUGACACAACCGAUCUUUGUUAAUACAGUUUAGACACAGUGGUCCUAUAUUUGCGGAGCCUCUCCCAGUGAAUGAUUUUAUUCAACAAUCGUUCGGAUCACCUAUUGGCUUAAGCCCGAUUACCUUUACACAAAGAAAUAAUUCAAGCUUCAAUAUUGACCCCAAUUGUCACAAAUCACUCACCCAAAUACCUCACAAUAUGAUAGACUUUAAACUCCUAUUUAAAAGUUGAAAUUAUCCCAUUAAUUAUCUUUAGUACCCCAGGGUGAAUCAAACUCAGUAUAAACGAAACCUAUUUAAGGCCCAAGUCAAUAACUUAAGUAGAGAAACAGUUUCGUUAUAAUUGGACAUAAAACAAACAGCAAUUUUCCCAACAAAAACAUAAUGGGGAGAGCGAGACUUAUUCCUAAGUUGGCAAAUGCAAUUGCUCAGCUGUUUGUUUCAUGCAAAACUUAGUUGGCAAUUAACAAAUUCAAAUAGGCUCAACAUCUUUAACCUAUGGAUAGAAUUUCUAAUGCCAAUUUGAAUUCCUUCCUUCCAAGAAAUCCUUCAACAUUUUUAUCUCUUUGUGCAAGCAUUAUUGUAACAAGUCCAUCUUCUUAACUUUCACUAGAGAAUCUGUGGUGAUAUGGAGUUUACAGUAAACCCUAUUCGAAUGGGGAGUAACAAUCCUCUUUUGUCCGAUGAUUCUUUUGUUUUGGGUAAGAAUUCCAAAAUUCAUUUUACAAAGAGUAAACGAAAGUUGUGUUAUUGUUUAUGGGAAUACAUGAAAGUAAUCUAGAGUCGAGCAUUUUAUACCAUUUGUCUUAUAGAAUUUUGGGUUAACUUCGUUUGGUCGGUAAAUUUGACGAUAUAUGUCAUGUUAAUCUUUCUAAAAAAGUAAAUGGUGAAUUACAUUAAUGGUUAUCUAAUUAUGAUUUUUUUUUAUCACCCAACCAUAAAAAAUUACAAAAUAGUUAGUCAAUUAUUAGUAUUUUUUUUAUCAUCCAAUUAUAAAAAAGUGACAAAAUAAUCUUCAUUUUCAUGUUAACCGACUAAUAACUAAAAAAUUAAUUGAAUAAUUAGAUGAUCAUUUUGUAAAAUUUUCAUAGUUAGGUGAUAAAUGAAACUAUAAUCUGAGUGUCCUCUAUUAUAGUUUUGAGUAUAUAAAUAAUAAAAUUGCACAUCCUAUUUGAUAUUUUUGAGCAAAAGAAAAGAAAAGAAUAAUGAACUUGGAUACAUGGUAUUAGAGCGACUUAUGAUUGCAAUUGCACAUCCUAUAUGAUAUUUUUUUAGCAAAAAAAAAAAAGAGAAAAGAAUAAUAACCUUAAAUACAUGGUAUUAGAGCGACCUAUGAUUGCAAUUCCACAUUGACUUCCCAUAGGAUGGAUCAAUAGGUACUCCAAGUCAAACUCCUAAAGUGUGCAGUAGGAGAAAAUAACAACAAAACCCAUGACAAACGCAACACGAGUUUAGAUGGAGAAGAAUAUUAAGCGAAACACUAAAAAAAUUAGAUAACAUUAUUAAUCCCAUAUCAAAAAACAAAUAAGAAAACAAGUAGACUUGUACGCUCUAGGAAAGCAUAUGACUAAUAUCACUAGGGGGGUUUAGCUAGGUACAGCUGAUGGUCCCAAGUUGAAAGGGACUCUUGAGUAUCGCUGAUGUUUUGACCUUAGUCCUAUAUAAUAGGGGCAAAACACUAUCUAUCCGGCGCGUCCACACCCAAUGAGAUAGAUUUUUGGUCACCUAGACUGAAUGGUCUAUGGACGCCUCUAAUCCAGCUGACUUAUCCUAUUUUAUACACAAAAAUGUUGAAAUCUCUAAAUAAUGAAGAGUAAACUAAAAUCAAAUAGCUUCCAUUAACAAGACAUGGGGUUAGAGCUUAGGGUUUAGAAUUAAUAAAGAAUCAUGAUUGCAAGCCAAACCUGGAUCAUUCAUAUACAUUAGAUGACAAUGAUAUCUCUAUAAGUUUUAGCAUUAAAACUAGGUUUGAGGAAACAUCAAAACAGAAAAUCCAAUUUGCAGACAUAAAAUACUUCAUUAAUUACAUUAACAAAAAGCUUAUCAAACAUUCCUUUGGAAAACAAUUUUGCAAAGACACUGUUAACUGCACAUAAUGAUUUAUAUUUGACUUGUAUAAAAGCAAUUGUACAUACCUUUUCAAGAUUUUCAAUUCCCCUCUUUCUUGUUUCAUCUGCUAUAUAAUACAAAAUUCCCCAUCAGCUACAUGCAUAGCUAAAUAGAGCUUUAGGCAUUCAAAAAGCUAAAGAACACAUGUUGGCCUCGAGGAAACACACAGAACCGUGCACAACGUCACAUUUCCACUUUCUCAGCAUGCUCGAAUUGAUGAACACAACGAACAGUGCUAACACAAUACUAAAAAGGUUUUCUUUAUGGAAGACAACUUUCUAUGACCAUUUUUCCACGACACGCUCUGAUAAUCUAAUUUCCUCAUCCUUGGAAAUAUGUGGAUCUAGCUUCUGAAGGUUGUCAAUAAAUGUCUUUGCCUCAUCACGCUGAUUGAGUUUACAAUAUCCAUCAACUAUGGAAUUGUAUGUAUUCUGGUUUGGUUUACAGCCGUGCUUGAUCAUGAAUUGGACAACAUCUAUGGCUUCCUCAAACAAGGAAUCAGCUGCAUAGCUUGCAACAAAGGUAUUGUAAGUGAUAACAUCUGGAACAAGGCCAGAAUCACCCAUUUCUGAAAAUAUCCGAGAAGCCUCUUUCAUUCGACCGUUUCUACAAUAGGCAUAAAUAACAGUGUUAUACGAGAUUAUAUCUGGUUUUAUUCCUUUUGCCUGAACUUCCCUUAAAAUUUGUUCUGAUUCCUCGAACUUUUCAGAGCGGCUAUACAUAUACAUCAAACUGUUGUAGGUCGUCAAGCUCGGAGUAUACCCACACUCAUUCAUGAAGUUCAAGAUCUCAUUUGUCUUGGAAACCAUCUGCCUCCUGCCAUAUAUUGAGAGCAUGGCAUUUAGAGUAGUUAUGUCAGGUGGAAAUCCUUUCUUCCUCAAUUCCAAGAAAGCACGCUCUGUAUCCGCAAGAAGGUCGCAUUUACUAUUAACCAAAACAAGAGUCUUUAACAGCACAGCAUGAGGUUCGAUGAUACCGGAGUAUAUCUCUUCCGCUAGGGCAUGCAUCCGAUCUACCUGCUUCCCAUUGGCAUAAACAUGAAGCAAAGAACAGUAGGUUAGCUCAUUGGGUUUGCAACGACCGUCUCUCAUUUCAGCCAGUAUUUUCUCAGACUGCUUCCAAAGCCCUCCCCGUGCCAAUGCCGCCAAAACAGCAUUAUAUGUAGAAAGGUCGGGGGUAACUCCAGCUUCCAGCAUUCUCUUAUAAAUAGCCAUGGCUUGAUCAAAAGCACCACAGCGACUGUAUGCACUAAUUAAAGUGUUGAAUGUGUCCCUUUCAGGUACAAACCCUGCCCUCUUCAUCUCCUUGAACACUCCAGACACUUCUACAUCCAUUCCAUUUUGCCCAAAUACUGCCAGUAGUGUAUUCCAAGUAACAAUAUCCGGUGCACCAUUGCAUGCCUUGAUCUCGUCAAAAAUCUUCAUCAUCUCAGUGAACUUCCCGCGGUUACCGUGCAUCUUAAUUAGAGCAUUGAAAGUGCAAAUAUUCGGCUUGCAACCAGAAGUUCUCAUCUCCUCAAAAACCGCCAUUGCAGACUCAUCUUUUCCGGCCUUGGCAAAUCCCGACAAAAGAGUGGUAUAGGUAAAAACAUCAGGCUUAAUCCCUUUUCCCUCCAUCUGUGUUUUCAAGUCCAUUGCUUCCUGCAACAGACCAUCCCUAGCAUAAGCGGAAAUCAACGAAUUAUAAGUCACAGUGCUAGGGGCAAACCCAUUAAGCUCCAUCUCUUUUAAAACCUCCAUAGCUUCCUUCGGACGCCGAGACUUACCAUAAACAUCCAACAAUGCAUUGUAAGUAACAUUAUCUGGAGUAAAACCAGCCAAUUUCAUUUCAUCGAAAACCGAAGCCGCUUCCUCAUGCAAAGACCCUCGACGACAGCUACUUAUAAGCGUAUUAUAAGUAUAAGCAUCAGGGGCAAUUCCAUCACUUUUCAUUCCAUCAAAAAGAGCCAUGACCUUACUCCAAGGCAUGCCCAUUUUACCAUACACAUUCAAAACCACAUUAUAAGUUAUCAAAGUAGGUUUACAACCCUCUUCCUCCAUUUUCUUAAAAACCACCAUGGCUUCCCUAUACCUCCCACUACCAGCAUAAGCAGUUAUCAAUGAAGUAUAAGCAUAAACAUCAAGACUAAACCCUUCUUUGUGCAAACCAUUAAACAAAUUAGCUGCAACAGAAACCCUCCCCUCUUUCCCUAACAUACUAAUAAUAAUAGCAACAACAGAGCUAUUCAACACCAAUCCACAAUCAUUUCUAGCUCUAACCCAAUUGAAAACACCCAAAGCCAAGUUAGAUUUCUUGUAAAAACCCAAAGCUUUAACAAUUCCCACCACUUCCGCAGCCAAAAAAUCAGCUUUCACAUCUGGGUUUUCUUGGUAUUGCUCAAACAACUUACUCAAAACAACAUCAAGUUGAUUAGAAUCAAAAGAAGGUUCAAUUAAGGAAUUAAGAACCUGCUGACCUUGAGCAGAGAGGUUGUUAUGAGUCCAACGCUUCCCACGGUUGACGUCACGUGACCGGCCGAGACGGUUCCGGGUCCGGACUUGUGGGUCGAUGGGUUGUUGGGACUUAGAAUUAUGUCGAAGAAGGAGGUCUUGAAAGACUGGAGUCGAGGGAGCAGGUGAAUUGGGUUGUGAAGUUGGGUUUUGUUGAGUGAAGUGAGUUUGGUUUGAUAAUGGGGUUUUAACAGGUGGGGGAUUUGGAAGGAGAAGAGGGAGAGCAAGCCUCUCUGCCAUUAAAGAGAGGAUAAGAAAGUUGCAGCCUUUGUAUCUAUGGUUGAGUUAGAAACAGAGAGGGAGAAAAAGAAAAGGGUAAUUGAUAAUUUUAGUGCGCUUUCGUUAUUACUUGCAGAGUCCACAACUUUUUUUUUUAGAAGUCUAAGGCUUAAAGGGGGACAUGACAAAGAUAUGCGGAGGAUAUUUUAGGAGGUAAAAGGGAGAUUAUAUUCUUCUGUGGUUAAGAAUGAACUAUUGAAAUACUAUGACCAAUAAAAGGUUGCCACGUAAACUCUGAAAGCGGACUCUUAAGUCAAAAUUGGUGACGUUUGCCCUCUUCAAAAUUAGUUCGAUUAGACAAAUUAUACUUAUUUAAACAUUUUCUCUUUUAUUUUUAUAUAAAAAUUAAUUUAAAGUGAAGCUUAAUAUUAUUAUAUUAAUAAUAUUUUUUAUUUUAAAAAAUAUUUAAAAUUAAUAAAAUAUUUAUAAUUUUCAAUAUUAUUAAUCAUACUUAUUUAAUUAUCUAUUUCUAAUCAUAUUAAUAACUUAUUAUUUUAAUAAUUUAUUUAAUAAUUUAAUUUUAUUUUAAAAAUAAAUUUGAAAAAUAAUAAUUUUAAAUAAUAUUCUUCAUAUAGUAUUGAAAAAUAUUCAAUGUUAAUAUUUUAAUAAUAAAUAUUUAUUACAAUUAUAAAUAUAUUACAGAUAAAUAUUUUGUAGUAUAAAUGUUAAAAUAUGUCAUAAAUAUAUAUACUCCUCACAAAUUUGAAAUUUAGUCCCUAUUCUUUUAUUUUCAAGAAUUUAAUCAUUCUACUGUUCAUAUUUAAAAAUCAAGUCCAAUUGUUAACAUUGUUAAAUUUUUUUUGUCAAUUUUGUUGAUGUCAAUUUUUAAAUAAAAAAUACUUGAUAUUCAUGUAACUAAAAGAUGACGUUACAAUUAACAUGAAUUUAACAAAAUAUUUUUAAUAAUGCUAUCAGAUGAACCUUAAUUUUGAUAUAUAAAAGGUAGGACUAACCCAAAAAUAAAAGCACAUGGACUAAAUUUCAAAUUUACGAAAAGUACAAUGACUUAUGACAUAUUUUAACCUAGUAUAAAAAUAUGAAUAUUUUAAUUAUAUAAAUUUGAAUAUUUGUUUAAGUAAUGUUUAGCUUCAUUUAUCCUUUACAACUCUAAUGUGUCAAUAUCUAUUCUCACAUAUCUAAUAUAUAUAAUUAAAAUUAAGUUUUAAUUAAGCAUUAUUUAUUAUUAAGUUUAUAUAUGACACUGAUUAUUACAAAAUAUUUUCUUAUUAUAAAAUAAAUUUCAAUUGUUAAAAGGAAAUUGCACUGUAAUAUUUUAUAACAAAUAUAUUUAUGUCAUGUUUGUUUUACAAAGAACAAUGUAAAAUAUAAAUUUAUAGAUAUAAAAUAAACUCAAUUAAACAAUGAAAAUAUAAGAAAAUCUCAUAUGUAUGUUUGUUUCAUUGAAAACAACUUUUAUGAAAUAUUUAUAGUAAAUCUGUCAAAUAACAGAAAAUAUUAAUUUUUCAAAAAAGUAAGUCAUUUUCCAGAAAUCAUUUUUCGGAAGUCAUUUUCAGUGAAACAAAUGGAACCUAAACUUGAAAAUCGUAAGUUAACUUGAUAUUUUUUUAGGCACCUAAUACUAUUAAAAUAUACUGACAUAACACUGACGAUCAAUUGGAUGGUGACACGUGAUAACCUCACAUUUUUUAUUAUAAAUAUUAUAUUUUUUUAUUUUGCCACGUGUCAAAAUAUAAGGCUAUCACGUGUCACCAUUCUAUUAGUAGUCAACGUCACAUCAGCGUAUUUUAAUGAUGUUAGUCAAGUAGCUAAAAAAACACAAAGUUGACUUAUAAUUUUUAAGUUUAGGUACCAGUCAGGGCCAAAAUUAAACUAUGUAAUUGAUAUUUAUGUCAUUAUUGUUGUUUAUUUGUGUAACUAAGAAUUGAUGACUUUAUUGUUUCAACCACUAAUUCGGUUUCCAAAAAACAUUGAUUCAAAGGAAACUAACCUAAACCGAACUAUAUAAUUGAUGUUUAUGCCAUUAUUAUAUAUGUGUUUAUAAUAACUAGAAUCGAUAACUUAACCGUUUCAACCACCUCUUCCAACUUCUAAAAAAAACAUUGGUAAAUGGAAGUUAGAUUAUUUUCAAAUCUUCAAGCUUUAUAAGUUAUUGAAUCGAGUGAUAAAAUACUUAUUAAUUCAUAAAAAGUUGAUGAAUCGUUUGAAAAGAAAGAAAAAGAAAAAGAAAAACCAAUGCUAAAAAAUGCUUGUUUCUUAUUUAGAAGUCCAAUUCAACUCAAGUUGUGUUUAGUAUUACUUUUAAGAAGUAUUUUUGAGAAAAAAAUACUUUUGAGAUAAAAACAUUAUUAAAUAAAAUGCUAAAUUGACCCGCAAUCGAUACCUGUGGGNNNNNNNNNNNNNNNNNNNNNNNNNNNNNNNNNNNNNNNNNNNNNNNNNNNNNNNNNNNNNNNNNNNNNNNNNNNNNNNNNNNNNNNNNNNNNNNNNNNNNNNNNNNNNNNNNNNNNNNNNNNNNNNNNNNNNNNNNNNNNNNNNNNNNNNNNNNNNNNNNNNNNNNNNNNNNNNNNNNNNNNNNNNNNNNNNNNNNNNNNNNNNNNNNNNNNNNNNNNNNNNNNNNNNNNNNNNNNNNNNNNNNNNNNNNNNNNNNNNNNNNNNNNNNNNNNNNNNNNNNNNNNNNNNNNNNNNNNNNNNNNNNNNNNNNNNNNNNNNNNNNNNNNNNNNNNNNNNNNNNNNNNNNNNNNNNNNNNNNNNNNNNNNNNNNNNNNNNNNNNNNNNNNNNNNNNNNNNNNNNNNNNNNNNNNNNNNNNNNNNNNNNNNNNNNNNNNNNNNNNNNNNNNNNNNNNNNNNNNNNNNNNNNNNNNNNNNNNNNNNNNNNNNNNNNNNNNNNNNNAAUAUAUCUUAAAUUUUAUUUUAUUGUAAUUUUAUAUGAAUUGAUUAUAAUUUUAAUUGACCGAAUAUAUAUCCUUUAUUAUUUAUAUUAUAUUUGUACUUGUAAUUUUUUUAAAAAUUUAAAUUAAACAUGCCCUUUUUUUAAAAAUGUAAAUAUAAAUAUUUGUUUAUAUUAUAAUGUGUUUAUAAUAAGAGUCAGAUUAUAUAUAUAUAUAUUUGUAAUAGAGUCAGAUUAUAUUUUACAUCUUCUGUUCGAAAAAAUUGGAAAAUUAAUCAACAGAUAAAAAUUAAAUCUAUUCUUAUUAUUAAAAAUUAUUUAAUUUCUGAAAAAAUUCUUAUAGGUAACCUUUUAGAUCUUUUUUAGCUGUGUUUAUUAAAAAAAAUAAAAAAAUAUAAAAGUAGUUUUUUUAGAGUAAAUGUAAAACUUUAAAAUAAUUGUAAUAUGUAAAAUUAAAAAUAUUAAACUAUUUACAACCGUCGGAUUAAAAAUGAUAUAUUUUUGAAUGAUGAUGAAGAUCGAUUCCUGAUGUAUAUAAAUACUGCCUUCUAUUCCCUUCAGUCUUCGCUUCACCCACUUUCUCAUUUCACACGGGUUGUGGCGUAGUUUAAGCAGAGAGGGUGCGCAGGAUAAAGCUAUUCACCAUUGUUUCAACAUGAAGGUUUGUAAUAAAAAUUUGUUUCUAUCAGCAUUGCUUUGCAUUGCUGUUGCAGGAGUUUUGGGUCAAGCUCCUAGUAAUCCUCCUACGUCUACGCCGGCGCCACCCACACCACCGGCUUCUACUCCUCCUCCGACGACUCAAGCACCGCCUACACCAACCGCCACUCCGCCACCGGUUUCUACUCCUCCUCCCACUUCAUCACCGCCCCCAGUGACAGCUUCUCCACCCCCAGUUUCAACUCCUCCACCCAGUUCUCCUCCUCCUGCAACUCCACCACCUGCUUCUCCUCCUCCUGCAACUCCACCUCCAGCUUCUCCACCUCCUGCCACUCCUCCACCAGCUUCUCCACCUCCCGCCACUCCACCACCUGCAACCCCACCGCCAGCAACUCCUCCUCCUGCUACCCCACCACCAGCUCCAUUGGCUUCUCCUCCAGCCACAGUCCCAGCUAUCUCUCCAGUACAAACACCAUUGACAUCGCCACCAGCUCCGCCGACCGAGGCCCCAGCACCUACCCUCGGGGCUGCUACGCCAGGUCCAGCUGGAACUGACACGGUACAUUUUCUCUUAUUCCACCAUUUUAUAUCCUUCUUCUCCACCUACGAUCAAGCUUUAUUAUCGGUUGAAAUUUAAGCCUUUACAGCAAGACUUAAAAUAUAAUUUUAUUAAUGGUUUUAUAAUAUUAAAUUAUAAUUUUAUCAUUCUUACACAUUAAUAUAUAAUGUGAUAAAAUUUUUUACUUUGGGUACCGUGCCAACUUCCUAACGUCGCCCUUAAUCUUACAUAAACAACGAUCUGAGCUUGUCUCGAUAUUAGCUAACCCUUAAGCCAUUAGAGAUGGCUAUUGGUUCCGUCUCGACAUACCUUCAACAUAAUCUGAUUUAAAAUUAAAUACUUAUAUCUAUUUUUUAACACAAUAUUUAAAAUUAUCUAUAAUUUCUUCUCAACUUAUAAUUAAAAUAACAAUACUUCAGCGUAUUCAAAUUUACGUACCUAUGUUAAUCUAAUUUGACAAUAAUAUUUAUGUUAAUUGAAUUAAAGCUUGAGAUAUUAAAUUUAAUUAAGA
Molecule: long non-coding RNA, 38845 nt
Filed under: Gossypium barbadense (sea-island cotton)
Lineage: Eukaryota; Viridiplantae; Streptophyta; Magnoliopsida; Malvales; Malvaceae
Description: long non-coding RNA (GBAR_LNC014573)
Source: RNAcentral